This 550-nucleotide unclassified non-coding RNA is filed under the name plant metagenome. Its description in RNAcentral is "partial contains small subunit ribosomal RNA, internal transcribed spacer 1, and 5.8S ribosomal RNA". The record is from RNAcentral.
UUUCCGUAGGUGAACCUGCGGAAGGAUCAUUAAAUAGUACCACAGAUUACAUAUGCAAAUAUGACAAUCUACUACUAUAUACCAUUCCGAUUACUCUUUUUCCAUGUUGCUUCCUCGAGUCAGUCACUUCAAGUGGCCGUUUGCUCCGGAUCUCCCUUCUUGGAGCGCCGGCUGUUGGCGAUAUUUCCUUGCUAAUGUUCAAUUACAAAUCCAAUCAUGUUUUUAUUUUGUGUCUGAAUAGUUUUUUUUUUUCUUUCUUUUUUUAAUUAAUAAAUACAAAAGUGCAAAGCUAAAGUAAUAUGCGGAUCCGGGUACUCUUUUUCCAGGUUGCUUACGAGAGGUAGUAACUUCAAGUGGCCGUUUGAACCGGAGCUCCAAUAUUGGAGAGCCGGGUGUGAGUGAGAUUUCCUUGCGAAAGGUCAAUUACAAAUCAAAUUAUGUUUAUAUUUUGUGUCUGAAUAGAGUUUUUUUUACUUUCUUAUUUUAAUUAAUAAAUACAAAAAAAAUAAAAUAAAAUACAAAACUUUCAACAACGGAUCUCUUGGUUCUC